AUUGAACGCUGGCGGUAUGCUUAACACAUGCAAGUCGAACGGCAGCAUUACCCGCUUGCAGGUAGAUGGCGAGUGGCGAACGGGUGAGUAACGCGUAGGAAUAUACCUUUUAGUGGGGGACAACUCGGGGAAACUCGAGCUAAUACCGCAUAUGCUCUGAGGAGUAAAGUUGGGGACUUUCGGGCCUGACGCUAGAAGAUUAGCCUGCGUACGAUUAGCUAGUUGGUGGGGUAAAGGCCUACCAAGGCGACGAUCGUUAGCUGGUCUGAGAGGAUGAUCAGCCACACUGGGGCUGAGACACGGCCCAG
This 308-nucleotide ribosomal RNA is filed under the name uncultured bacterium. Its description in RNAcentral is "bacterial SSU rRNA". It matches the Rfam family "Bacterial small subunit ribosomal RNA", at positions 30 to 334 of the family's 1533-position model. The record is from RNAcentral.